GAUGAAGAACGCAGCAAAAUGCGAUAAGUAAUGUGAAUUGCAGAAUUCAGUGAAUCAUCGAAUCUUUGAACGCACAUUGCGCCCGCCAGCACUCUGGCGGGCAUGCCUGUUCGAGCGUCAUUUCAACCAUCAAGCCCCCAGGGGCUUGUGCUGGGGCCCUGCGGCUGCCCGCAGGCCCUGAAAACCAGUGGCGGGCUCGCUAGUCACACCGAGCGCAGUAGCACAUCUCGCUCAGGGCGUGCGGCGGGCUCCUGCCGUGAAACCCCCCACUGUAACCCCAAAGGUUGACCUCGGAUCAGGUAGGAAUACCCGCUGAACUUAAGCAUAUCAAUAACGGAGGA
This 341-nucleotide unclassified non-coding RNA is filed under the name soil metagenome. RNAcentral's name for it is "partial contains 5.8S ribosomal RNA, internal transcribed spacer 2, and large subunit ribosomal RNA". The stretch from base 1 to 120 matches the Rfam family "5.8S ribosomal RNA", at positions 35 to 154 of the family's 154-position model. The record is from RNAcentral.